AGACUGGAUAGGAAACAAAAAGGCAUCUUUUUGUUUUUAAAAGACCUUCUUACGAAGGUAUGCUUAAAGAGGGGCUUGCGCCACAUUAGUUAGUUGGUAGAGUAAAAGCCUACCAAGACGAUGAUGUGUAGCUGGACUGAGAGGUUGAACAGCCACAUUGGGACUGAGACACGGCCCAAACUCCUACGGGAGGCAGCAGUAGGGAAUUUUCGGCAAUGGAGGAAACUCUGACCGAGCAACGCCGCGUGAACGAUGAAGUAUUUCGGUAUGUAAAGUUCUUUUAUUGAAGAAGAAAAAGUAGUGGAAAAACUAUAUUGACGUUAUUCAAUGAAUAAGCCCCGGCUAACUAUGUGCCAGCAGCCGCGGUAAGACAUAGGGGGCGAGCGUUAUCCGGAAUUAUUGGGCGUAAAGGGUGCGUAGGCUGUUAGAUAAGUCUAUAAUUUAAUUUCAGUGCUUAACGCUGUCUUGUUAUAGAAACUGUCUUGACUAGAGUGAGAUAGAGGCAAGCGGAAUUCCAUGUGUAGCGGUAAAAUGUGUAAAUAUAUGGAGGAACACCAGAAGCGUAGGCGGCUUGCUGGGUCUUUACUGACGCUGAGGCACGAAAGCGUGGGUAGCAAACAGGAUUAGAUACCCUGGUAGUCCACGCCGUAAACGAUGAGUACUAAGUGUCGGGGUAAAACUCGGUACUGAAGUUAACACAUUAAGUACUCCGCCUGAGUAGUACGUACGCAAGUAUGAAACUUAAAGGAAUUGACGGGACUCCGCACAAGCGGUGGAUCAUGUUGUUUAAUUCGAAGAUACACGAAAAAUCUUACCAGGUCUUGACAUACUCUGCAAAGCUAUAGAAAUAUAGUGGAGGUUAUCAGGGAUACAGGUGGUGCAUGGUUGUCGUCAGUUCGUGUCGUGAGAUGUUAGGUUAAGUCCUAAAACGAACGCAACCCUUGUCGUUAAUUGCCAGCACAUAAUGGUGGGGACUUUAACGAGACUGCCAAUUAAACAUUGGAGGAAGGUGAGGAUUACGUCAAAUCAUCAUGCCCCUUAUGAUCUGGGCUACAAACGUGAUACAAUGGCUGUGACAAAGAGUAGCUGAAACGCGAGUUUUUAGCCAAUCUCAAAAAAGCAGUCUCAGUUCGGAUUGAAGUCUGUAACUCGACUUCAUGAAGUUGGAAUCGCUAGUAAUCGCGAAUCAGCAUGUCGCGGUGAAUACGUUCUCGGGGUUUGUACACACCGCCCGUCAAACCACGAAAGUUAGCAAUGCCCGAAAGCAGUAGCUUAACUUCGCAAGAAGAGGGAACUGUCU
RNAcentral lists this ribosomal RNA (1300 nucleotides) under 'Hishimonus phycitis' 16SrVI phytoplasma. RNAcentral's name for it is "bacterial SSU rRNA". It matches the Rfam family "Bacterial small subunit ribosomal RNA", at positions 166 to 1458 of the family's 1533-position model. The record is from RNAcentral. Lineage: Bacteria; Bacillati; Mycoplasmatota; Mollicutes; Acholeplasmatales; Acholeplasmataceae. RNAcentral also lists the same sequence under 2 other names.